CGACCCGCGAAUAAGUUCUUACGUUUUGGGGCGAGGAUGGCUCGAAACGAAUCUGACUCCUGCCUCGGUGCAUUGCAUCGUGUCGGCGAGUGUAUUCGAUAAGUCAUAACGACUCUCGGCAACGGAUAUCUCGGCUCUCGCAUCGAUGAAGAACGUAGCAAAAUGCGAUACGUGGUGUGAGUUGCAGGAUCCCGUGAACCAUCGAGUUUUUGAACGCAAGUUGCGCCCGAAGCCUUUAGGCCGAGGGCACGUCUGCCUGGGCGUCACGCACCGUUGCCCCCCAAACCCCCUCAGUCCUCCACGGAGGAUUGGCGAGGCGCGUGGGGGGCGUAAAGUGGCUUCCCGUCGGCUUUGUCCCGCGGUUGGCCUAAAAAUGAAUCCCUAGCCGCGGUGCGCGCGGCAUUCGGUGGUCAUCGAUCCCUUUCGUUACCCCGCCGCGCGCUCACGUGCCGCGAAGGAUGUCACACUAGUAAACCCGACGCCUCGCUUUGUGAAGAGCGGAGCUUACAACGCGACCCCAGGUCAGGCGGGGCUACCCGCUGAA
Molecule: ribosomal RNA, 544 nt
Filed under: embryophyte environmental sample
Lineage: Eukaryota; Viridiplantae; Streptophyta
Description: eukaryotic LSU rRNA
Rfam family: 5.8S ribosomal RNA (bases 111-266)
Source: RNAcentral